This 253-nucleotide ribosomal RNA is filed under the name uncultured bacterium. RNAcentral's name for it is "partial 16S ribosomal RNA". It matches the Rfam family "Bacterial small subunit ribosomal RNA", at positions 524 to 776 of the family's 1533-position model. The record is from RNAcentral.
GACGUAGGGCGCGAGCGUUGUCCGGAUUUAUUGGGCGUAAAGAGCUCGUAGGCGGCUCGUUGCGUCGGCUGUGAAAACCCGCAGCUCAACUGUGGGCUUGCAGCUGAUACGGGCGGGCUUGGAUUCGGUAGGGGAGACUGGAAUUCCUGGUGUAGCGGUGAAAUGCGCAGAUAUCAGGAGGAACACCGGUGGCGAAGGCGGGUCUCUGGGCCGAUAUCGACGCUGAGGAGCGAAAGCGUGGGGAGCGAACAGG